Cercocebus atys (sooty mangabey) is the source of this 292-nucleotide unclassified non-coding RNA. It matches the Rfam family "Metazoan signal recognition particle RNA". From Rfam's summary of the family: The signal recognition particle (SRP) is a universally conserved ribonucleoprotein. It is involved in the co-translational targeting of proteins to membranes. Lineage: Eukaryota; Metazoa; Chordata; Mammalia; Primates; Cercopithecidae. The record is from Ensembl.
GCCAGGCAUGGUGGUGCAAGCCUGUAGUCCCAGCUACUUGGGAGGCUGAAGCAGGAGGAUUGCUUAAGCCCAGGAGUUCUGGGCUGUAGUGCACCGUGCCUGCCGGGUGUCUGUACUAAGUUCAACAUCAAUAUGAUGACCUCUGGGACUACCAUGUUGCUUAAUGAGGGGUGAACUGGCACAGGGUAGAAGUGGAGCAGGUCAAAACUCCUGUGCUGAUCAGCAGUGGGAUCUCACCUGUGAACAGCCACUGCACUACAGCCUGGACAGAAUAGUGAGACCCCCGUCUCAU